UACGUAGGGGGCAAGCGUUGUCCGGAUUUAUUGGGCGUAAAGAGCGUGUAGGCGGCCAGGUAGGUCCGUUGUGAAAACUCGAGGCUCAACCUCGAGACGUCGGCGGAAACCCUCUGGCUAGAGUCCGGAAGAGGCGAGUGGAAUUCCGAGUGUAGAGGUGAAAUUCGUAGAUAUUCGGAAGAACACCAGUGGCGAAGGCGACUCGCUGGACAGGUAUUGACGCUGAGGUGCGAAAGCGUGGGGAGCAAACAGG
RNAcentral lists this ribosomal RNA (253 nucleotides) under uncultured bacterium. Its description in RNAcentral is "partial 16S ribosomal RNA". It matches the Rfam family "Bacterial small subunit ribosomal RNA", at positions 524 to 776 of the family's 1533-position model. The record is from RNAcentral.